CAUUCCUGAAGAGGUGCAAACGCCAGGUAAGUUGUACGAGGUACCGAAACCGUUAAUGACAACUGAUGGGGCGAUUUGCCGAAAUCAUAACCGUGUCGGAAGCAGUUAUGGUUGGUAGUCCGGGCUGAAUCCCGUCUACUGUCACAUAAUCCAUGGGAAUGGGCUAUGUGGAGCGCUCCAGGUGAU
This 186-nucleotide non-coding RNA is filed under the name Bacteroidota bacterium. RNAcentral describes it as "Bacteroidetes bacterium Lysine sequence". It matches the Rfam family "Lysine riboswitch aptamer". Rfam says of the family: Riboswitches are metabolite binding domains within certain messenger RNAs that serve as precision sensors for their corresponding targets. Allosteric rearrangement of mRNA structure is mediated by ligand binding, and this results in modulation of gene expression. This family includes riboswitches that sense lysine in a number of genes involved in lysine metabolism, including lysC. Lineage: Bacteria; Pseudomonadati; Bacteroidota. The record is from RNAcentral.